GGACCCUGACCGAUGCAUUAACUGGUUCCAGAAAUGGUCCCAAGAACACUGCAUGAGCAGCGUGAAGACAUUCCAUCCGUGUAGAUGCCCAGGAGAAGGCAUCCACAUGGAGGAAGCGCCCAGUAAUCAGAGUAAAAUCAGGAUCUAAGAAGAUGCUCGUGUUUAUUUGACCUCUUCUGUCCCCUGUCAUAUGGACACCUGCCCACAUCUCAACUUGAGAAGCACAUUACUAGAGGAAUAAUUUCAACAGUUUGUCACAAACACACUUCAGGACUUCCUGACCACGUACCAGAGGCACUGCUCGGGAUGUCUCCACGCGAGGUCGGGGUGCAGUUGAGUACAUGUAGUUGAAGAGC
Vicugna pacos (alpaca) is the source of this 356-nucleotide non-coding RNA. The record is from RefSeq and is a predicted model, not a curated record. Lineage: Eukaryota; Metazoa; Chordata; Mammalia; Artiodactyla; Camelidae.